UACUACAGCCAUGCCACCCUGAACAAGCCCGAUCCCGUCUGAUCUCUGAAGCUAAGCGGGGUUGAGCCUGGUAAGUACUUGGAUGGGAAACCACCUAGGAAGACCAGGUGCUGUAGGCA
This 119-nucleotide ribosomal RNA is filed under the name Pteropus alecto (black flying fox). Lineage: Eukaryota; Metazoa; Chordata; Mammalia; Chiroptera; Pteropodidae. The record is from RNAcentral.